Molecule: long non-coding RNA, 1029 nt
Filed under: Vigna radiata
Lineage: Eukaryota; Viridiplantae; Streptophyta; Magnoliopsida; Fabales; Fabaceae
Description: long non-coding RNA (VRAD_LNC015554)
Source: RNAcentral
AAUUAUAUAAUUUAAAUAUUACAAGAUUUUCAUUUCUUCACUUAAAUAAUUUAACAUAAUAAUUUAUAUAUUUGCAUAUCUAAAUUAUAAUUUUUAAGAUGGGAUAAAGUUAUUUUUUAUGAUUAUGUGUACACACAGGAAUGGUGAAUUAUAUUAUCAGAGAACCAGUGAAAAAUCUUAUUAUCUUAAGACUGACACAAAAUUAUUAUUAUGUAUUUAAUGUUGGGUGGUGUGAAGAAGAUUCUAUUUAGUCCUCACAUUAACUCUAAAAACUGUACAGGUUUCUUAUAUUAAUCUUUCUGUUUUCUCCGCGGCCUUUUUUUUUUUUUUUUCAAUAUUGUUAGUGCUUGUAGGAUUCAUAUGCUAUGAUUGAUAUAAGAGUUGGAAUUUUUGAUAAAAACAUAAAAUUGUAAAAAAAAAAUAAAAAAUAUUAAUUGAUUAUAUUUUAGGUAAAAUAUUAGUAAAUUAUUUAAUGAUAAUAAAAAAUAAAAAAUAAUUCAAAGUAAAAAGAUUAGAAAAUGGCUUGGUAGUUUGAAAAUGGUUUGGUAAUUUGAAAAUGAAAAAAACAAGUUUAUUAUUAUAUUACUCUCUGGUAUUGAAGAUACGAAAAUGGUUUGUAAUUUUAUCAAGUGAAAAACAAUUUCACAUCUUUAUCGAAUUGAAACAAUUAUGUGGGUGUUCCAAUUUUGAAGAUUGUUUAUAUUGACAAUAAAAGAAUUAUUUGUAUUGACAAUAUAAUUGAAUAUAAAAUUUUAGAAUUAAUUUAUUUUUUUAAAUAUUGUUAGUGCUUGUAGGAUUCAUACGCUAUGAUUGAUACAAAAAUUGGAAUUUUUGAUAAAAUAAUUUUUACAAAAUCAUUUUCUUUAUGACACAAUCUACUUUUUUAUUUUACAAGUCUACCAUUACGAACAAUAAAAAUGUUUUUUUUUUUCUAUUGUUGUUGGAGGGUUAUAUAAGAUUUCUCAGAUGAAUAUAGCUUCAAGGUUAGUAUUAUCAUCUCUAAUCUAUAGUUUAUUUAUGACAUAAUAU